UACAGAGGUCUCAAGCGUUGUUCGGAUUCAUUGGGCGUAAAGGGUGCGUAGGUGGCGCGGUAAGUCGGGUGUGAAAUUUCGGAGCUUAACUCCGAAACUGCAUUCGAUACUGCCGUGCUCGAGGACUGGAGAGGAGACUGGAAUUUACGGUGUAGCAGUGAAAUGCGUAGAUAUCGUAAGGAAGACCAGUGGCGAAGGCGGUUAGCUGGCUUGUAACUGACGCUGAGGCGCGAAAGCUAGGGGAGCGAACGGG
RNAcentral lists this ribosomal RNA (253 nucleotides) under uncultured prokaryote. RNAcentral describes it as "partial 16S ribosomal RNA". It matches the Rfam family "Bacterial small subunit ribosomal RNA", at positions 524 to 776 of the family's 1533-position model. The record is from RNAcentral.